This 71-nucleotide transfer RNA is filed under the name Loxodonta africana (African savanna elephant). It matches the Rfam family "tRNA". Rfam says of the family: Transfer RNA (tRNA) molecules are approximately 80 nucleotides in length. Their secondary structure includes four short double-helical elements and three loops (D, anti-codon, and T loops). Further hydrogen bonds mediate the characteristic L-shaped molecular structure. tRNAs have two regions of fundamental functional importance: the anti-codon, which is responsible for specific mRNA codon recognition, and the 3' end, to which the tRNAs corresponding amino acid is attached (by aminoacyl-tRNA synthetases). tRNAs cope with the degeneracy of the genetic code in two manners: having more than one tRNA (with a specific anti-codon) for a particular amino acid; and 'wobble' base-pairing, i.e. permitting non-standard base-pairing at the 3rd anti-codon position. Lineage: Eukaryota; Metazoa; Chordata; Mammalia; Proboscidea; Elephantidae. The record is from Rfam by way of RNAcentral.
GCAUUGUUGGUUCAAUGGUAGAAUUCUUGCCUCCCAUGCGGGAGACCCAGGUUUGAUUCCCAGCCAAUGUG